AGGACGAACGCUGGCGGCGCGCUUAACACAUGCAAGUCGAGCGAGAACCAGUCCUUCGGGACUGGGGACAGCGGCGAACGGGUGAGUAACACGUGGGUAAUCGACCCUUGGUACUGGGAUAGCCCGGGGAAACCCGGAUUAAUACCGGAUGGCCCAGCAGCUCUUCGGGGCGGCUGGAAAGGGUAGCUUCGGCCUCCGACCAAGGACGAGCCCGCGGCGGAUUAGCUUGUUGGCGGGGUAACGCCCACCAAGGCGACGAUCCGUAGCUGGUCUGAGAGGACGAUCAGCCACACUGGGACUGAGACACGGCCCAGACUCCUACGGGAGGCAGCAGUGGGGAAUCUUGCGCAAUGGGCGAAAGCCUGACGCAGCGACGCCGCGUGGGGGAAGAAGGCUUUCGGGUGUAAACCCCUUUCAGGAAGGACGAAGCUACUCGGGUUAAUAGCCCAGAGGUGACGGUACUUCCAGAAGAAGCCCGGCUAACUACGUGCCAGCAGCCGC
RNAcentral lists this ribosomal RNA (501 nucleotides) under uncultured bacterium. RNAcentral's name for it is "SSU rRNA". It matches the Rfam family "Bacterial small subunit ribosomal RNA", at positions 26 to 518 of the family's 1533-position model. The record is from RNAcentral.